AGUUGAGCGAGAUAAGUUGUAGCAAUACGGGCUUUGGAAGCGGCGCACGGGUGCGUAACACGUAUGCAACCUACCUUUUACUAAGGAAUAGCCUCUCGAAAGAGAGAUUAAUACCUUAUAACAUGUUUUGAAGGCAUCUUCAGAACCUUAAAGCUCCGGCGGUAAAAGAUGGGCAUGCGGUUGAUUAGCUAGUUGGUGAGGUAAUGGCUCACCAAGGCUUCGAUCAAUAGGGGGUCUGAGAGGAUGUCCCCCCACACUGGUACUGAGACACGGACCAGACUCCUACGGGAGGCAGCAGUAGGGAAUAUUGGACAAUGGGCGCAAGCCUGAUCCAGCCAUGCCGCGUGCAGGAUGAAGGCCCUAUGGGUCGUAAACUGCUUUUGUACGGGAAGAAACCUCACUACGUGUAGUGAGUUGACGGUACCGUGAGAAUAAGGAUCGGCUAACUUCGUGCCAGCAGCCGCGGUAAUACGAAGGAUCCAAGCGUUGUCCGGAUUUACUGGGUUUAAAGGGUGCGUAGGCGGACUUUUAAGUCAGUGGUGAAAGCUCGCAGCUUAACUGUGAAAUUGCCAUUGAAACUGAAAGUCUCGAGUGUGGUUGAGGUAACUGGAAUAUAUCAUGUAGCGGUGAAAUGCUUAGAUAUGAUAUAGAACACCAAUUGCGAAGGCAGGUUACUGAGCCACAACUGACGCUGAGGCACGAAAGCGUGGGGAUCAAACAGGAUUAGAUACCCUGGUAGUCCACGCCGUAAACGUUGAAUACUCGAUCUUAGCGAUACACAGUUAGGAU
Molecule: ribosomal RNA, 789 nt
Filed under: uncultured Bacteroidota bacterium
Lineage: Bacteria; Pseudomonadati; Bacteroidota
Description: bacterial SSU rRNA
Rfam family: Bacterial small subunit ribosomal RNA
Source: RNAcentral